RNAcentral lists this ribosomal RNA (292 nucleotides) under Andeana farcta. RNAcentral describes it as "partial large subunit ribosomal RNA". The record is from RNAcentral. Lineage: Eukaryota; Metazoa; Arthropoda; Insecta; Hymenoptera; Tenthredinidae.
AUAAUAAUUUGUCUUUUUAUUGAAGACUAGAAUGAAAGAUUUGACGAGAUAAAAACUGUCUUUUUUUAAUUUUUUUUUGAAUUUAAUUUUUAAGUUAAAAAGCUUAAAUUAUUUUAAAGGACGAGAAGCCCCUAUAGAGUUUUAUAAUUAUAUUUUUAAAAAAAAAUAUAAAUUUAAUUUUUUAAAUAAAUUAAUUAUUUUAUUGGGGUGAUAAAAAAAUUUAAAAAACUUUUUUAUUUUAAAAACAAUAAUUUUUGAAUUUUUGAUCUUAAAUUCUAGAUUAAUAGAAUAA